RNAcentral lists this long non-coding RNA (1510 nucleotides) under Hordeum vulgare. RNAcentral describes it as "long non-coding RNA (HVUL_LNC002708)". Lineage: Eukaryota; Viridiplantae; Streptophyta; Magnoliopsida; Poales; Poaceae. The record is from RNAcentral.
GUGCACGUGUACUCAAGGCAAUGUUGAAGGUAAUAUUUCACCGAAGGUAAUAUUGUGAUGCAGUACAGCUAGUCAGAUAUAGUAAAUUCAGAGAUUGCUUUUAAAACAUCAGAUUUGAAAGCUAAAGUAGAGGAGAAAUAACUAAGUCAGCUAGUGUAGACAAUUUCAUAUUCUUAGACCAAGUUAGUUAUAACUGUGAAAACAUUCUACAGAGUAAACCAUUGGAAAUUUGUACUCAAAAUUCAGCUAAGUAAAAUCAAUCUUCAGAAAAUAUUAGAGGGUGUGGACAUUAGCGAGUGUAUUCGUAUUUGUGCUUUUGCUAAUAGUUUUUUGGGAAGAAAAUAAUAAUAAUCUGGACACCACCAACCAUUACACUUAAGGGAUACAUUUUCCAUUGCCCAUUGAUUCAUGUACAUAAGCCAUUCAUCUAGAGAAUAUUUCUGUGUAUAAUUAUUCAUCUAUGGAAGCAAUGUAAUUAUUUUGAAAAUCCAUUGUAAAUUAUGCUCUAGAGAAAACUUCAGUGUAUAUGUAUGGCGUGUUUUAGUUUUUACUAAUAAUUUGUCCCGACAUCUAAAAUAGGUUGAUAGACAUUCUUUUAUUUUUACUGAUAUGUAUUGUUGUCAUACAAACAGGGAAAUUAAAUUUUUCGUUGAAAGCAAGGUAUUACUAUGACCAUGAAGUACACCCAUUUUUGUUGGAUGGCUGUUUGAAUGUUGGGCAAAUUCUGGUCGUUCAUGUACGUGUGCUAUGUACAAGGGGGCUAGGCUUUGUAAUAUAUUUCCUUGUAGGUAAGAAGAUUUUUGAGCAUUAUGUUGAUUGAUUUUCUAAUAGCAUAGUUAUAUUCGAGAACUUAUUGUAUGUCUGUACAACACACGUGAUGAUGGGAAGUGUCUUCUUUUUUGCGAAGAGAUGGCAAGUUUCCUUACAUGUGUUUUGUUUUCCACUUCUCAAUCACAGGCUUCGUUUGAUAAACUUUGUUUGAUCACAUCCAUUCUUUUUAGCUCUUUUAUUGUUACAUCUAUGCCAUUAAUUUUGUAUCGUUUUAUAAUUAUAUAAUAGAUUUUCAUGUUUACAUUUGUUGCAGUUCUCUUGUUUCUACUAUCUAUUCAUACCUACAAAUAUCUAAUUGUUUUGUAAAUAUGCUAGGUAUGAUUGUGUACUCGGCUACUUGGUGUUGUCAUCACAAUUUGGAUGACGUGAUAGUUUCCAUCACAAUUUGGAUGACGUGAUAGUUUCCAUCAAGGUUUCCAUCAGGAGGGCCGACAACAAGAACUUCAAUAGUUUAAGUGUUUUGUUUGUUCGAACUGGAUUGCACUGUUUUCUAAAUUGUUGAGUGAUAUAUUUUUAUCAAUCUAGGUUGUAAAAUAUCAUUUCAUGGAUGAUUUUGUAAACUACUAUGUUGUAGAUACUUGCGGAUGACUACAUAUUGAUUCAUACGUGUACACAUGACACUUUGUAAAUACCUUUCCUUUGUCUAAAUUGUCACUACAAUUUGAGUAAUGCAUUAUGC